UUCACUGAGUCACAGGAGAUGGUCCCCAUUUCUAAAUCCUUAACUUGUUGUUCUGGAUCCAACUCCAGGGUUUUGAAAAUUGUAGAGAAAACCCAGAGAUAGUUGGUAGGCGGGUCCUGUCAGAGAGGAGCAGGGCCUGCCCUUUCUCUGUGUCAGAUCAAAGGUAGCUUCCCAGUCAUUUGAUACCCCCAGUAAAGAUGUGCCUGAGCCAGGACUGGGGCUUUCUGGGGGCCUGGGAGCUGAGGACGUGUGGGCCUGCAUGUGUUCGUGUGGGCUGGUGUGGAGGGGAGGGCACACUCACAGCAGCUGCCCCUGGAACUCAAGGCUAGGGGAUCUGGAAAGGGCAGCCGGCCGCCUCAGCUUUCAGAGACGCUGCUUCCAGUGCAGCCCUUUCCUGGUUCCAGUUCUGGGGACACACAGGCUGCCUUGUUUGCAGCUGCUCCGACGUAGCUGUCCCCUUCUGAAAUCCCAGUCCCAGGGCUCAGAUGUUGUUCCCAGUGUGUCCCCAGCCUAAGCUGGCUGUCCCUCUAAAAUCCAAACAGAAACACUUUGGAGAGAGAGUGGGCGGUGUUUGUAACACCAGGAGAGUCAGAAUCAAGCAGGACCAUGUUAGGCAAAGCGGCAAAUGGGUUCUUCCUUCCCAUAUCUCCCCUUUGGGCUAACACUGACACUGAACUAUCUACCAACCUCCACCCCGUGAUUUUGGGUACCAGGAACUUUUAGAUUUAGGUGUUUUGAGAUUUGGUCUGUGGAGUAGAAACUUCAGAUCCCUCCCACACCUCAGGCGCAGGAAAGCAGAUAGGAACCCUGAGGAAAAUCAGAAGAUUGUUCCUUUGAAAGCCCAUCCAUGAUCAUGCAGCAUCUAGAUGUGGAUAAUUAGGUUUUCAGGACUUGGGAUAGAUCUGUUAACAUUGAGUAGCUUCUUUUUAUUCUAAACAGGCUCAUGGGCUUCCCAUGAAGUACGUGGGUCACAAGAGACAUUUCUCCUCCAGGGUCCUGACUAGCUGAAACCCUAAUCGGAGGCAUUAUGCAGGUGCAGAGCAAAGCCUGAGGCUGCAGGCUCCUGGCAGAAGGGAGAUGGGAGCUGGUUACUUGCCCCUCCUGUAUUGUUUCCAUCUGAGCAGCUGGGCCUCUCAACCCUUGGCAGAGUAGGAUCUCUGACAGCAGAAGAGGUGGACGCCAGGGCUCUGUCCUGUGGCUGUCUUAGCCAGCACCAAGCCGUUUCUCAUCCAAUUCUGGCAGUACUCAGAUCACAACAGGGCCUCCAUAAUAAAGGACAGAAAAGGUCACUGGGUCUUCAGAUGGCACCCUAGAGUUUUGCCUUCCCUGGAGGUCCUCCUGGGUGGGCUGAGUCUGACCAUUCUCUCCUAUAAUUAAUAUUAAGAUUGCCAUGUUCAAUGUAGGGUUAGAUUUGAAUUGCGGAUAAGUCAUUUUCUAAUUCAGGCAUGUCAUAUGCAAAGGUUGUGUUUUACAUGGCAAGGGACAGGCCAGGUUUGCUCACUGCAGAGGGAAGCCAACCACAGUGCUCUUUCAUUCAGCCCAGUGACAGUUUGUGGAGUGUCAGGAAUAGCAUAUGGCAGAUGCUGUCCCAGGCACUGAGGAGACUACAGGGAGUAAAACCAGGUGUGAGCUCCUGGAUUCGUGGUGAUCACAGUGAAGUGUGUGGUGGAGUGUUUGAUGGAUGUGUGGUGGGUAAAUGGAAGAUGUGAGCCUCGUAUCCAGUCAGGAAGAAACAGCCAGAGCAGAUACGUGUAUGUAGGUGUAUAUAAAUACUUGUAGAUACAGUAUGUAUAUAAAUUCUGAACAGAAACCAUGGUAACUUGUCUGUCUUAGUGCCUUUCUAGAGGCUACACUGAGCCCUGUUCUGUUACUCUCUUCUUUGCUCUUUGAAACAGUUUCUCACUGAACCUAGAACAAAGCUCAAUAAUCCUUCUUCCUCCACCUUACACAGUGUUAGAAGCAUGGCAGAUCCCAUGCUUUCCUGGUGAGCACUCUUACCCAUUGAGUCAUCUCUCUAGCCCUGAAGUUGGUUUUGAUAGACUAAACGGGCUUAAAUUGAAAUUGUUAGAGAGCUGAUGGGCCUGACAGCUUCCCUUUCUUUUCCAGUCUGAAAAAACAGAUAAGGUUUUACCUGGCCUGCUUUGAAAAUUCAAAGAAGCUGGGAGCAACACCUGCAACCCCAGCCCUUGUGGGCUGAGGUGAGAGGGUAGAAAGCUUAAGGCCAGUUGAACUACCUAUACAGACCUGACUUCAAAUGCAGUAUGAACAGGGUCAACAUGGCGCAUCAGCAGGUAAAGGAGCUUUCUGCCAAGCCUGGUGACCCAAGUUCAAGCCCUGGAACCUACACAGUGGAAGGAGAGAAUGGACUCCUAUAAGCUGUCCUUUGACCUCCAUACCUGCGUUGUAGGACGCAUGCCAGUAUACCUAAGACAAACAGAUGUGAAAGAAAAACAUUUACUUGUCACACAAAUAGUCACUAUAUUUAAAAGUAAAGAUAAUCAUUUGAUAUCAUAAAAUACGUUCUUUGGGGGAAAGUACUGAGUCUAUACGGGUUUGGCUUUUAAGUGGUGAAAAUUAUUCUAAAUGUCAGCCAGCUUUGAUGGGAAUUUGACAGCAGAGGCAAAUAUUUUCCAAAAACUGUUGACAAGCCUGCUGGCUAAUGGCAGACUGGCAAAGGAGCCUUGCUGAGGACUCACUGAGCAUUUUUAGAGCACCCAUACAAUGUUUCGGAGAAGGUACACCCAGAACACACUUGAACUCACAUCACAUGGGUUUCAGAUAUGAAACCAGACCGCGUCUCCCCAGUUCAGAAGCAGAUCUGAAGACCCAGUAGGCAGCUAAUGUGGGAACUGAGCUGACCCUGCAGCCAGUGUUUGGUGUCUCAGGAACAACCUGAGGUAGCAUGGAAGGGCUGACUACUUGUAGUGAAGUUAAAAUCCAGGUGUGUGUGUGUGUGUGUGUGUGUGUGUGUGUGUGUGUGUGCACGCUCGCUCGCACUUAAGCUUAAUUAUAUUUGGUUUACAUUAGCUUUGUUUGCCAGUGAUUUUUUUUUUUAAGGGGGAGGGUCAGAUAUUUAAAUUCAAUUUAAAGUGUUCUAUGGUAAUUGAGGCUACUCGCUGUGGAGAGAGAAUACUUACUUUAGAGGAGAAAGAUCUAGCAUUAUCAUCCAUUACUCUUGAUUGUAAUUUCUUUAAGUCAUGGAGCCCUUUUUGUGAAAUGGAAGUAAUGGGCCUGGAAGGAUGGCUCAGUGGGUAAAGACGCUCUUUGUCGAGCCUGGCAGCCUCAGUUCUGUCCCAGGGCCUCAGAUGGUGGAGAGAAUUGGUUCCUGCAAGCUAUCUCUGACCUCCACACACACAUUGUGGUAAACCACCUCCCUCCAUAAAUAAAUUAAUUAAUUUAAAAAUGUGAACAGUAAAGCCAAUGUGGAAGCUUUCUUAUGCCAGGUAAGUGAGGUGGGUUGUAUUGGCCCAUUCCAUUUUACUCAGCUUUUCACAUAAGCUGGUGGUAUGUUUUGGUAUAGCAACACCAUCCUUAUCAGUAUUGCUUUUGUUAUUAAAGAUUUAUUGUUUGAUUUGAUAUCUUCCAAUUAAAAUAUUACUUCCCUUCUCCCUUCUUUUUUCUCCAAUCCACUUGCCCACUCCUACCUUUUCUUCUAAUUGUUACACAUACAAAUGUGUAUAUGUUAUCCCUGUAUAUAAACUGCUAAGUUAUCUUUAUUACUUUAAAAUUAUGUGUAUAUAUGUGUGUGUCUCUGUGCACAUGGGUGUAGAUUCUUGCAGAGCCCAGAAAUAACGGAGUUACAGGGAGUUAUAAGUGUCCCCUUGUGGGUGCUGGAAUUGAACCUAGUUGAUUCUCAAGAACAGUCAUGUGUUUUUAACACUGAGCCAUCUCUCUAUCCCCAUUAUGUGUUGACUGAGACCUGCUGGUGUGUUAUCUAGGGACAUGCCAGUUCAAAUUCUAAUGCCUUGAUGGGGAGCAAGCAGGUGAGGUAGAGUUAUAGGCCCAGAGUAGAGGGGAGCCCAGGGAAUGUGCCUUUUUUCCUUGCUAUCUCUCCAGAUGGCUGCCCAGCCAGCUUGAUAAUUAGUAUCAACAAAUGUAAGCUGAGAGUGGAGCACAUGGCAUGUGGAGGUCUGUGUCUGUCUGGGGGUGCAGCUGGGCUCAGCUGGGCUGCUGUAGGCAUCACCCCGAGUUGGGCCUAUUCUGGUCUCAGCUGGUACACAGACAACAACACUUCACAUCCUGGGUCCUGCCCAGUGGGCUCAGGGAGCAGAAGGGCCCCAGUAGGGGGUUGUAGCCUCCAGCUGCUUUGAUGCCUGUGUUAGGCCUGAGCUGCAUGGAUCCCUGCACUGCUAUUUAAAUCUGUCACUCGCUGGUGACAGCUUCCCGCCUCAGCAAUGACAGUGUGUGUGCCACAGGUUUCAGCUCAUUACCUCUGCAGGGCUCUGGUCAGGGGGUAAUCAUGAUUACAGACCAGGUCCUUACUCUUCCAGGGACAGUUCCAAGCCUAAGACAGGCUCUGAAGCUUCUGCCUGCUAUCUGCCCACAGGGGACCUUUCUCUCCAGCAUGUCCAGAGAUGGGUUUGUUUUGUUUUACUAUGAUACUUGGGCAUCACAUGUAGAUGUUGCUGAAGUCCUUGGGCAAGUCAUCCUACCUUGUGGGGCUUGUUGCUUCAAUAGACAGUUGAUCCCUUGGAAGCUGUUGACAUGUAUUCAUCUCUGUGCUCCUUGGGGCAACCGUUUGCCCAGUAAAUGACUGGUUAAAUUUGGACAAAGAUGACAAGAGUGUCCUCACCCCUGUGUGAAGUGGAGGAGAGAAAGAAGGUGCAGGUAACUUUUUUUUUCCCUUUUAAGCUGGGGCAGAAGGGACUCUAGUGAAGGGACAUUUGCAUUCAUUUACUCUUUUCCGUAUGACAAUAGACUCAAAGAGAAGCUCUUGUAUGCUCAUUUACCAACCCAAACUUUCACCAAUGUUGCUAGUGGAUCUAAGCCGGUAUUCUCUCUUAAGGGCAUAUAAAUUGUCAAAAAAAGGCACAGAGAAACACUGACUCCUCUGUCUAUUGCACCUCCUUCCAGUUGUUAGGACGUCUGUGGUAAGCAAGCCUGAUAGUGGUGAAGAGUGGAGAGUUGGACUUCCUCUUACGUGACUGAGGAGACUGUGAGAGGUUUGCUUUCUUGGAUAGCGACCAGAAAGUUCUUAAAUGUUCAGCAUAGAGUUGUUCUGCUUGAAUCAAUCUACCCAAGAGAAGCAACCAUACUUGUAUGCAGACUCACACUUAGAGGGAGCGUUGUUCUCAUGGGUGGCCUCUCAGGGACUGGGAAUGAGGACACUGUGCAGAGAUGUUCCUGGGAUGGUUUAUGUAGAGGGACUUGUACCUAGCAAAUGCCAGAUAUUCAGCCUCCCUCCUUCACAACCUUGGUGUUGCAAGAAGGAAGAUUAGUUGUCUUGGAAAUGCAGGCUUUUGACCCCAGGGCUUAGGAAGCUGAGGCCUGCCUAUCUCUGAAUGGCAACCUUUAUCAAUGAAAGGUAUCUGUCUAAGGUCUCCUGGGCGUUGGUCUCCUGCAUUCCUCAGAACCUGCUUGGGCGUACUUCUUGUUAUGUGGGUUGCAGGCUUUGGAAGAGGGAUUCCUGGCUGAUGGAAGAUUCUGUCAGUACUGAGAUAUCUCUGAAAGACCUGAUAAGGACUUGUUAGUUUCUGAGGUGGGUGGGCCCUCCUUUAAGAAGUUCCAUUGAUUGAAAUACCUGAGCAACAGGCUUUUCCUGGCUCCAACCAGUUCUAGGUGACAGGUGGUUGAGUGAAGGGCAGGAGUUAAGUAUCAGCCUCAGGGCCUUUUGCCCAGAACCUGGUUAAGACAGUCCCGAGAUCAAACGCUCUCCUACAUUUGGGAUGUGAGUUCUAUAAGGUUCCUCAAUGGAUACUAGGAUAAAGUAGAUGGCCCCAGGAAACCACAGAGCUCAAGGAACUUCACCAGAGAACAGUUAGAAUUGGAGUUGUGGAUUCUUCUUUCCUGAAACUCAGGAUAGGGGAUGGGAGGUGAGGCUGCAGGCUUGACCUCGGGUGUGUCCCAGAACACUCCAUAUGGUGCUUGGGGGUACUUGGAGAUUACCCUCCUGAUUAGAACUCUUAAUGGAUGGCCUACGGUGACCUAAGAUGAAAAACAGAUUUCUCUGUGUAGAUCCCGGGUUGUUCUUGAACUUGCUCUGUAGACCAGGCUGCCUCUUGAUCUGCCUGCCUCUGUCUCCUGAAGUGCUGAAAUUAAAGGCAUACACUGAUACUCCCAGCUCAAGGUUGUAAUUUACAUACCUA
Molecule: long non-coding RNA, 6305 nt
Organism: Mastomys coucha (southern multimammate mouse)
Lineage: Eukaryota; Metazoa; Chordata; Mammalia; Rodentia; Muridae
Exons: 2
Source: RefSeq, a predicted model, not a curated record